UACCUGCAGCUCAAGUGGUGACCACUAUUAUUGGGCCUAAAACGUUCGUAGCCGGUUUGGUAAAUGUCUGGGUAAAUCGUGUAGCUUAACUAUACGAAUUCCGGGUAGACUGCCAAACUUGAGACCGGGAGAAGCUAGAGGUACUCCUGGGGUAGAGGUGAAAUUCUGUAAUCCUGGGGGGACCACCAGUGGCGAAGGCGUCUAGCUAGAACGGGUUUGACGGUGAGGAACGAAGCCCUGGGGCGCAAACCGGAUUAGAUACCCGGGGUAGUCCAGGGUGUAAACGCUGCUUGCUUGAUGUUAGUUGGGCUCCGAGCCCAAUUAGUGUCGGAGAGAAGUUGUUAAGCAAGCUGCCUGGGAAGUACGAUCGCAAGAUUGAAACUUAAAGGAAUUGGCGGGGGAGCACAGCAACGGGUGGAGCGUGCGGUUU
This 430-nucleotide ribosomal RNA is filed under the name uncultured archaeon. RNAcentral describes it as "bacterial SSU rRNA". It matches the Rfam family "Archaeal small subunit ribosomal RNA", at positions 474 to 903 of the family's 1478-position model. The record is from RNAcentral.